RNAcentral lists this ribosomal RNA (1310 nucleotides) under Campylobacter jejuni. Its description in RNAcentral is "partial 23S ribosomal RNA". It matches the Rfam family "Bacterial large subunit ribosomal RNA", at positions 1627 to 2925 of the family's 2925-position model. Lineage: Bacteria; Pseudomonadati; Campylobacterota; Epsilonproteobacteria; Campylobacterales; Campylobacteraceae. The record is from RNAcentral.
UUUAGCUAAUGUUGCCCGUACCGUAAACCGACACAGGUGGGUGGGAUGAGUAUUCUAAGGCGCGUGGAAGAACUCUCUUUAAGGAACUCUGCAAAAUAGCACCGUAUCUUCGGUAUAAGGUGUGGUUAGCUUUGUAUUAGGAUUUACUCCGAAAGCAAGGAAACUUACAACAAAGAGUCCCUCCCGACUGUUUACCAAAAACACAGCACUCUGCUAACUCGUAAGAGGAUGUAUAGGGUGUGACGCCUGCCCGGUGCUCGAAGGUUAAUUGAUGGGGUUAGCAUUAGCGAAGCUCUUGAUCGAAGCCCGAGUAAACGGCGGCCGUAACUAUAACGGUCCUAAGGUAGCGAAAUUCCUUGUCGGUUAAAUACCGACCUGCAUGAAUGGCGUAACGAGAUGGGAGCUGUCUCAAAGAGGGAUCCAGUGAAAUUGUAGUGGAGGUGAAAAUUCCUCCUACCCGCGGCAAGACGGAAAGACCCCGUGGACCUUUACUACAGCUUGACACUGCUACUUGGAUAAGAAUGUGCAGGAUAGGUGGGAGGCUUUGAGUAUAUGACGCCAGUUGUAUAUGAGCCAUUGUUGAGAUACCACUCUUUCUUAUUUGGGUAGCUAACCAGCUUGAGUUAUCCUCAAGUGGGACAAUGUCUGGUGGGUAGUUUGACUGGGGCGGUCGCCUCCCAAAUAAUAACGGAGGCUUACAAAGGUUGGCUCAGAACGGUUGGAAAUCGUUCGUAGAGUAUAAAGGUAUAAGCCAGCUUAACUGCAAGACAUACAAGUCAAGCAGAGACGAAAGUCGGUCUUAGUGAUCCGGUGGUUCUGUGUGGAAGGGCCAUCGCUCAAAGGAUAAAAGGUACCCCGGGGAUAACAGGCUGAUCUCCCCCAAGAGCUCACAUCGACGGGGAGGUUUGGCACCUCGAUGUCGGCUCAUCGCAUCCUGGGGCUGGAGCAGGUCCCAAGGGUAUGGCUGUUCGCCAUUUAAAGCGGUACGCGAGCUGGGUUCAGAACGUCGUGAGACAGUUCGGUCCCUAUCUGCCGUGGGCGUAAGAAGAUUGAAGAGAUUUGACCCUAGUACGAGAGGACCGGGUUGAACAAACCACUGGUGUAGCUGUUGUUCUGCCAAGAGCAUCGCAGCGUAGCUAAGUUUGGAAAGGAUAAACGCUGAAAGCAUCUAAGCGUGAAGCCAACUCUAAGAUGAAUCUUCUCUAAGCUCUCUAGAAGACUACUAGUUUGAUAGGCUGGGUGUGUAAUGGAUGAAAGUCCUUUAGCUGACCAGUACUAAUAGAGCGUUUGGCUUAUCUUUAAUAAAGCAU